RNAcentral lists this long non-coding RNA (404 nucleotides) under Pan troglodytes (chimpanzee). Its description in RNAcentral is "lincRNA". The record is from RNAcentral. Lineage: Eukaryota; Metazoa; Chordata; Mammalia; Primates; Hominidae.
GGUGCUGGCUUUCAAGUCUCCUCCAAACGCAACGGACCCGGGUCUGCCUGUCCUCCAUUAGCUAACACACCGCUAAGAAAAAGACUUGUUCUGAGAGUGAGGACUGCCCCCGGAUUUUGUAACCAGUUGCAACCACCUGAAAGCAGCUCUGGGGAAGAGGUCAUUGAAGAGUCUCUCCAGGUGGAAAGUGAAGUAAAUGAACUCUGGGGUGGUGCCUCCCAACUCUCACUUCCAGCUCUCCUGUGUUUGUAGACUCUGUGUUCCUAAACAAGGGAAAAUACAGCCACAACCUCCAAAGGACAAGUGCUUAUUCAUUCCUUUAAUUUAUCUUUAUUGAGGAUGUUCCAUGUACAGUGGAAGAAAAAUUGAAAGUGAAUAAAGGAAGCUGAAGAUGUUUAAAGAUA